CAAAUCUUUGGAAUUAAACUAAAUCACAAAAUGAAAAGGACCUCCAAUAAAUUGACAUUUUAUAUUUUUGGCUGGCAAAAAAAUAUGUAUCUUUGCUGGAAUAUGUAAAUAAAAAUGCAAAUUGACAAAAACAUUGAAAUUGAAAUGCACAAAAGCAAAGCAAAGCAAAUUAGAAAACCUUAAACCAAAUGACAGCCUAGAAAUGGAACUGUUUUUAAUCAUUUAGGUUCAAAUGAUUGGCUGGAGAAAGGGCCAUUCUUUGAAUUUACAUGAUAAAAAACAGAACAUAAUUUAGGGGUCCAAAUACUGAAACUGAGAAAAAAAAAAUUACAAAAAAAAAUUGAGAAAAACAAUUAAAUUGAAAUAACAAUGAUACUCCCAAAAAAAAUUGGCAACCUUAGCGUAUUAGAUACCCCCAAAAACAAAAAUAACAAAGACCAAUUAAAGAAGGAGUUCAAAAUUUUAGAAUAGGCAGAUCAAACGUCUAGAUGCAUUUGGCUGUUCCCAUCUAAAAUUUUCAAACUGAAAAAAAACACACUAAAACCAGUUACACAACUGUAGAGCACAAUUUUUAAGGGUGCCACUGCAAUUGAAAUAACUUCUAGAUACAAUGAGAGAAAAAUAAAUUACAGUAAUUUGACAUGAGAAAAGAAACCACAUGAUUUGAAAUAACCCAUUGGUAAGCUAAGUUAUAAAAUGGUAAAAGCGAUGAUAUAUACCUAACACCCUGCUUGCUGUGAGCUAUAACAUCCAAGUUCCACUAUGUAACCCUCUGCAUAGCUGUGUAACCUCUGGUAGCGAAACCCCUGAGAAGGUUAAGAGCUCUGAUCAGAGAAGGCAAACCAAAAUCAUCUAGUUAGACAACCGCGCACACACACAGAGACACACAUGCCUUUCACAGAAUGGGAAUCCAGGUAAAACAAAAAAACGCAAAAAAUCAUUAAUAGUUGCAUUUAGCUUAAGUGCUUGAUAAUGUUCUGAAUUAUCAGCUGGAUAAAGCUGUUAAAAUGUGUUUUGGAAUCGGUCCUCUCACAGCAUGUUUAUCUACGCUAUUCUUGUUUAACUUCCUUUUAUUUAGAAUUAUGUUUUAGUGUACUUUUGAUGGUAUGAAGAUUUUUUCAAGCACACCAACUUAAGACGUAACAAUCACGCAUUCUAGUGUUAUUGUGGUCGUAUAUAUUCAAAGGACGUUAUAAUUAGAUAGCUAGAUUUAAUCCCAAUGUGCAAAAAAAAACAUGUAAGAACAGCCAUGAAACCAGUGUUAAUUAAUAUACCUAAAAAGUCAAAGGGCCAGUCUGAGAUUUCAAACAUGGAGAUUUACUUCAUUUUAAAAACUGCUAAAUACAUUGGUAACUGUUAAAAGCAUGAACUACAAAUAUGUAAAGAAAAAAGGCUUGCAAAUAAGUUUAAACGAUCAACUCUCAACUUAGCAUUGUUACUGUUUUUAAGUUGGAUGUUGGCUUCCUAACAUGGUAUUAAAAGGGAUUUAUAAGUGUGUGCAUUGUUAAAUCACCCAACACCAUGUGUUAAUCAAGUAAUUUAUAGCUAAAGAGCAAGAUAUGCCACACAAAACCUGUAUUUAGAUGCCAAUCACUAAAAGCUAAUAAAAAUUCCUAAUCUAACUAUCACUAUACUAACAGUUUGGAGAAGGAUCAGAACUUCUUGUCCAAAUUUGUGUUCAUUUUAUUUGAAUUGUCCAUCAGAGCUUAAGUGAAAGAAUGAUUAAAUAAACACAAUGGCAUGCCAAAGAAAAUAUACCCGCCUUUUAAACUUCAGUAAUGCAUAGUCUUGUUGUGGUUUUUGUUUUUUCUAAAGACCAGACUAAUAGAAUGGUCAACACAAACAUCCUAUCUAAUCAGAUCAUCGCAAAGACUAAAAUAUAAGCUCACAAAUAUAAUCCUAACACAAUCAGAUCACUGCCAACAAAAAAUAUCCUUUAUUAAAAACAUAAGUGCAUUGAGAAGGUGUAAAAAAGAGUAAUGACCAUAAAACUAAUGAUUUCAUUCAUCAGUCACAGAGACAAAUUGGUUUGUGGGCUUCACAUUGAGGGAUAAAGGGACUUAUCAAAAUAGAUCCCACUAACUUCCCUAUUUAAGAACAUAACAUGAUUUAGGUGAUUAAAACUCAUUUGAACAAUCAUGCAAAGUUGAGUGAAAACAAUUAACUAAUUAACCACUUACACCCUGCUCACAGUGAAAAGCAAUUUCGAAUAAACAGCCAUAUGAAUCCAGAUUCAUUAACAUGGAUGAUUGGCUGAUAAGAAUCCAGGGCACAGAUGAAACCUUGCUAAACUUGGCAUUUGGUAAUUCAAACAAUUAAAUGAAAGAACAAAAUUAUGUCCAAUCAUUCCCAAACAACCACUUUUGCCAUAAUUUUCUUCUUUCAUUCAAUUGUUUCAAUGACCAAAUGGCUAGUUUGCCACGGUUUCAUAUGUGCCCUAGAUUCUUGUAAAACAUGAAGUUUAAAGAAACAUGAAGCUUUAAAGUAACAGAAGCAUAAAUGAAGUAAAAUGGCAAUUGGGUUAACAAAUCUUGGAAUUAAAGUAAAUCACAAAAUGAAAAGCACCUCCAAUAAAUUGACAUUUAUAUUUUUGGCUGGCAAAAAAAUAUGUAUCUUUGAUGGAAUAUGCAAAUAAAAAUGCAAAUUGACAAAAACAUUGAAAUUGAAAUGCACAGAGGCAAAGCAAAUUAGAAAACCUUAAACCAAAUGACAGCCUAGAAAUGGAAGCAAAUGUGAACUGUUUUUAAUCAUUUAGGUUCAAAUGAUUGGCUGGAGAAAGGGCCAU
Molecule: long non-coding RNA, 2785 nt
Filed under: Malus domestica (apple)
Lineage: Eukaryota; Viridiplantae; Streptophyta; Magnoliopsida; Rosales; Rosaceae
Description: long non-coding RNA (MDOM_LNC004177)
Source: RNAcentral